Molecule: ribosomal RNA, 365 nt
Filed under: uncultured bacterium
Lineage: Bacteria
Description: partial 16S ribosomal RNA
Rfam family: Bacterial small subunit ribosomal RNA
Source: RNAcentral
CCUACGGGUGGCAGCAGUGAGGAAUAUUGGUCAAUGGGCGCGAGCCUGAACCAGCCAAGUAGCGUGAAGGAGGACUGCCCUACGGGUGGUAAACUGCUGGUAUAAAGGAAGAAAGUGAGGCGCGUGUGCCUUUUUGUAUGUACUUUAUGAAUAAGGAUCGGCUAACUCCGUGCCAGCAGCCGCGGUAAUACGGAGGAUCCGAGCGUUAUCCGGAUUUAUUGGGUUGAAAGGGAGCGUAGGUGGGUUGUUAAGUCAGUUGUGAAAGUUUGCGGCUCAACCGUACAAUUGCACUUGUUACUGGCAGUCUUGAGUACAGUUGAGGUAGGCGGCAUUCGUGGUGUAGCGGUGAAAUGCUUAGCUAUCAC